RNAcentral lists this ribosomal RNA (253 nucleotides) under uncultured bacterium. Its description in RNAcentral is "partial 16S ribosomal RNA". It matches the Rfam family "Bacterial small subunit ribosomal RNA", at positions 524 to 776 of the family's 1533-position model. The record is from RNAcentral.
UACGUAGGGGGCAAGCGUUGUCCGGAUUUAUUGGGCGUAAAGAGCGUGUAGGCGGCCUGGAAGGUCAGCUGUGAAAACUCGAGGCUCAACCUCGAGCUGUCGGUGGAAACCGCGUGGCUAGAGUCCGGAAGAGGGGACUGGAAUUCCCGGUGUAGCGGUGGAAUGCGCGGAUAUCGGGAGGAACACCCGUGGCGAAGGCGGGUCCCUGGGACGGUACUGACGCUGAGACGCGAAAGCGUGGGGAGCGAACAGG